GUGUCAGCCGCCGCGGUAAAAYCAGCACCUCAAGUGGUCAGGAUGAUUAUUGGGCCUAAAGCAUCCGUAGCCUGCUCUGUAAGUUUUCGGUUAAAUCUGUACGCUUAACGUACAGGCUGCCGGGAAUACUGCAAAGCUAGGGAGUGGGAGAGGUAGACGGUACUCGGGAGGAAGUGGUAAAAUGCUUUGAUCUCUCGAUGACCACCUGUGGCGAAGGCGGUCUACCAGAACACGUCCGACGGUGAGGGAUGAAAGCUGGGGGAGCAAACCGGAUUAGAUACCCGGGUAGUCCCAGCUGUAAACUAUGCAAACUCAGUGAUGCAUUGGCUUGGUGCCAAUGCAGUGUUGCAGGGAAGCCGUUAAGUUUGCCGCCUGGGAAGUACGUACGCAAGUAUGAAACUUAAAGGAAUUGGCGGGGGAGCACCACAAGGGGUGAAGCCUGCGGUUCAAUUGGAGUCAACGCCAGAAAUCUUACCCGGAGAGACAGCAGAAUGAAGGUCAAGCUGAAGACUUUACCAGACAAGCUGAGAGGUGGUGCAUGGCCGUCGCCAGCUCGUGCCGUGAGAUGUCCUGUUAAGUCAGGUAACGAGCGAGAUCCCUGCCUCUAGUUGCCACCAUUACUCUCAGGAGUAGUGGGGCGAAUUAGCGGGACCGCCGCAGUUAAUGCGGAGGAAGGAAGGGGCCACGGCAGGUCAGUAUGCCCCGAAACUCUGGGGCCACACGCGGGCUGCAAUGGUAAUGACAAUAGGUUCCAAAUCCGAAAGGAGGAGAUAAUCCUCAAACAUUACCACAGUUAUGACUGAGGGCUGCAACUCGCCCUCACGAAUAUGGAAUCCCUAGUAACUGCGUGUCAUUAUCGCGCGRUGAAUACGUCCCUGCUCCUUGCACACACCGCCCGUC
Molecule: ribosomal RNA, 900 nt
Filed under: uncultured archaeon
Lineage: Archaea
Description: bacterial SSU rRNA
Rfam family: Archaeal small subunit ribosomal RNA
Source: RNAcentral